CAAUAGCGUAUAUUUAAGUUGUUGCAGUUAAAAAGCUCGUAGUCUAACCUCUGCCAGGUGUCAUGUCUGCCUUCUGGUGAGUACUUGUGCCACCUGGCAUCUAUUCGGAAUUGGGCGUUGCACUUAAUUGUGUGGGUCCGAUACCGGAGCUGAUACUUUGAGAAAAUUAGAGUGUUCCAAGCAGGCGUCGCCUUGAAUACUGCAGCAUGGGAUAUCGAGAUAGGGCUCAUCUCCUAUCUUGUUGGUUCUCGGGAUGUGAGCAAUGAUUAAUAGGGAUAGUUGGGGGCAUUCGUAUUUAACUGUCAGAGGUGAAAUUCUUGGAUUUGUUAAAGACGAACUACUGCGAAANCANNNGCCAAGGAUGUUUUCAUNGA
RNAcentral lists this ribosomal RNA (374 nucleotides) under uncultured eukaryote. Its description in RNAcentral is "partial 18S ribosomal RNA". It matches the Rfam family "Eukaryotic small subunit ribosomal RNA", at positions 592 to 976 of the family's 1831-position model. The record is from RNAcentral.